RNAcentral lists this ribosomal RNA (1882 nucleotides) under Leptomyxa silvatica. Its description in RNAcentral is "SSU rRNA". Lineage: Eukaryota; Tubulinea; Elardia; Leptomyxida; Leptomyxidae. The record is from RNAcentral.
CUGGUUGAUUCUGCCAGUAGUCAUAUGCUUGUCUGAAAGAUUAAGCCAUGCAUGUCUAAGUAUAAAUAUUUUUAUACCGUGAAACUGCGGACGGCUCAUUAAAUCAGUUAUAGUUUACUUGAUCAUAUUUUUUACUUGGAUAACCGUAGUAAUUCUAGAGCUAAUACAUGCAAAAAAUCUGGACCUCGCUUGAGGGAAGGAUGAAUUUAUUAGGUAUUAGAAACCGGCGCAAAAGCCCAAAAAGGCUUUGAAGUUAUGGUGAAUUCAUAAUAACUAAUCGAAUCGCAGAGACUUUUAGUCGGGCGAUGAUACAUUACAAAUUUCUGCCCUAUCAACUUUCGAUGGUAGUAUAGAGGACUACCAUGGUUAUAACGGGUAACGGGGAAUUAGGGUUCGAUUCCGGAGAGGGGGCCUGAGAAAUGGCCACCACUUCCAAGGAAGGCAGCAGGCGCGCAAAUUACCCAAUCUCAAUUCGAGGAGGUAGUGACAAGAAAUACCAGUACAGGGCCCACUGGGUACUGUGAUUGGAAUGAAUACAAUUUAAAAACCUUAAUGAGGAACGAUUGGAGGGCAAGUCUGGUGCCAGCAGCCGCGGUAAUUCCAGCUCCAAUAGUGUAUAUUAAAGUUGCUGCAGUUAAAAAGCUCGUAGUUGGAUUUCGGAUUAAUGAGAAGUUAAGGUCCAUCUUUCCGAUGUGUACCUUAUUCUCGUUUCCUUCCUUUUGAAUACACCCCCUAAAAUUAUAUUUUGGGGAUCAGCGUGUUUCAAAUCUUUUACUGUGAAGAAAUUAGAGUGUUCAAGGCAGGCGUAAUCUAGCCUUUGAAUAUAUUAGCAUGGGAUAAUGAAAUAGGACUUUAGUCCUACUUUCGUUGGUUUCUAGGGCUAAAGUAAUGAUUAAUAGGGAUAGUUGGGGUCACUAGUAUUUAAUUGUCAGAGGUGAAAUUCUAAGAUUUAUUAAAGACUAACUACUGCGAAAGCAUUUGACAAGGAUGUUUUCAUUAAUCAAGAACGAAAGUUGGGGGAUCGAAGAUGAUCAGAUACCGUCGUAGUCUCAACCAUAAACUAUUCCGACCAAGGAUCCGGGGGUGUUAAAUAUGGAGGACUCGAGGUGCUCUGAUGAUUCUACUACUSUCCGGGCACUCAUAGAGAAAUCAUAAGUAUUUGGGCUCCGAGGGGAGUAUGGUCGCAAGGCUGAAACUUAAAGGAAUUGACGGAAGAACACCACAAGGAGAGGAACCUGCGGUUUAAUUUGACUCAACACGGGGAAACUUACCAGGCCCAGACACAGUGAGGAUUGACAGAUUGAGAGUUCUUUCUUGAUUCUGUGAGUGGUGGUGCAUGGCUCGUUUCUAGUUGGUGGAGUGAUUUGUCUGGUUAAUUCCGUUAACGAACGAGACCUUAACCUAUUAAAUAGUUGCUUGAACACAUGAAUAUUCUAUUCUUUGUUCGGUUAACUUCUUAGAGGGACUCUUCACUGAGAGAGUGAAUGGAAGUUUGAGGCAAAAACAGGUCUGUGAUGCCCUUAGAUGUUCUGGGCCACACGCGCGUUACACUGACAUAUUCAACGAGCAUUUUCCUGACCCGAUGGGGUCGGGUAAUCUUUUAAAUGUAUGUCGUGCUGGGGAUAGAUCAUUGUAAUUAUUGGUCUUGAACGAGGAAUUCCUAGUAAGUGCGGGUCAUGCAACUCGUGCUGAUUACGUCCCUGCCCUUUGUACACACCGCCCGUCGCUCCUACCGAUUGAAUGGUCCGGCGAGAACUCAGGAAGGAUAUUGAGCUUGGAUAUCGUCAGAUGAUCCAACUAUAUCCAGAAUUUGUUCAAACCUUACCAUUUAGAGGAAGGUGCAGUCGUAACAAGGUUCCGUAGUGAACCUGCAGAUGGAUCA